UCCGAUUUGUCACCGGCAGUCUCCCUAGAGUCCCCGGCAUUAUCCGCUGGCAACUAGGGACAGGGGUUGCGCUCGUUGCGGGACUUAACCCAACACCUCUCGACACGAGCUGACGACAGCCAUGCAGCACCUGUGUUCCGAUUCCCUUUCGGGCACAGCUGGAUCUCUCCAGCCUCUCGUACAUGUCAAGGGUAGGUAAGGUUAUUCGCGUUGCAUCGAAUUAAUCCACAUCAUCCACCGCUUGUGCGGGUCCCCGUCAAUUCCUUUGAGUUUUAAUCUUGCGACCGUACUCCCCAGGCGGUCAACUUCACGCGUUAGCUGCGGUACUGAGAAAUCGCUUCCCCAACACCUAGUUGACAUCGUUUAGGGCGUGGACUAC
Molecule: unclassified non-coding RNA, 379 nt
Filed under: uncultured Gammaproteobacteria bacterium
Lineage: Bacteria; Pseudomonadati; Pseudomonadota; Gammaproteobacteria
Description: contains 16S-23S intergenic spacer region
Source: RNAcentral